RNAcentral lists this ribosomal RNA (253 nucleotides) under uncultured bacterium. Its description in RNAcentral is "partial 16S ribosomal RNA". It matches the Rfam family "Bacterial small subunit ribosomal RNA", at positions 524 to 776 of the family's 1533-position model. The record is from RNAcentral.
GACGUAGGGUGCGAGCGUUGUCCGGAUUUAUUGGGCGUAAAGAGCUCGUAGGCGGCUUGUUACGUCGGCUGUGAAAACCCGCGGCUCAACCGCGGGCCUGCAGCCGAUACGGGCAGGCUAGAGUUCGGUAGGGGAGACUGGAAUUCCCGGUGUAGCGGUGAAAUGCGCAGAUAUCGGGAGGAACACCAAUGGCGAAGGCAGCUUGCUGGGACGGUACUGACGCUGAGACGCGAAAGCGUGGGGAGCAAACAGG